GACGGAGGGUGCUAGCGUUGUUCGGAAUGACUGGGCGUAAAGGGCGCGUAGGCGGCUAAUAUAGUCAGGCGUGAAAGCCCCGGGCUUAACCUGGGAACUGCGUUUGAUACUGAUUAGCUAGAGGACGAGAGAGGAAAGUGGAAUACCGAGUGUAGAGGUGAAAUUCGUAGAUAUUCGGUGGAACAUCAGAGGCGAAGGCGGCUUUCUGGCUCGUUACUGACGCUGAGGCGCGAAAGCGUGGGGAGCAAACAGG
RNAcentral lists this ribosomal RNA (253 nucleotides) under uncultured bacterium. RNAcentral's name for it is "partial 16S ribosomal RNA". It matches the Rfam family "Bacterial small subunit ribosomal RNA", at positions 524 to 776 of the family's 1533-position model. The record is from RNAcentral.